Molecule: ribosomal RNA, 253 nt
Filed under: uncultured bacterium
Lineage: Bacteria
Description: partial 16S ribosomal RNA
Rfam family: Bacterial small subunit ribosomal RNA
Source: RNAcentral
UACGAAGGGGGCAAGCGUUGUUCGGAAUUACUGGGCGUAAAGGGCGCGCAGGCGGCCAAUCAAGUCAGAUGUGAAAGCCCCGGGCUCAACCUGGGAACUGCGCUCGAAACGGCGGAACUAGAGUUCGGGAGAGGAGAGUGGAAUUCCCAGUGUAGAGGUGAAAUUCGUAGAUAUUGGGAAGAACACCGGUGGCGAAGGCGGCGCUCUGGACCGAGACUGACGCUGAGGCGCGAAAGCGUGGGGAGCAAACAGG